RNAcentral lists this transfer RNA (89 nucleotides) under Streptomyces olivaceus. RNAcentral describes it as "tRNA-Glu". The record is from RNAcentral. Lineage: Bacteria; Bacillati; Actinomycetota; Actinomycetes; Kitasatosporales; Streptomycetaceae.
UACCACUUGGGGUAGGCGGGCUCGGUGAACAGCUCGCGCUCGAAGAGGGUGAGCGUCUGCGUCUCGAGUUCGAAGCCGGUGGUGGCGUC